UCCCGCCCGAGCGUCCCCGCCGUCGGUGGCCGCGCCGCUGCCCACCGGCCGCCGGCCAGAGGUGAGUUCUUUCCAGCUAAAGAGCAGGCCUGGAGUCCUUUCGGUGCUGCAAGUUUGUGAAGCUCUGAUGUUAUCAUCAUCCCAGUUUCCCUUCUUCAGAUAUGCAGAAUUCUUCCUUGUUCGUUGGAUGCUUGAGCAGGGAAAUGAUUUUCCUGGAAAGGCAUCUCUACUGAAUCAGGUGUUGAAAAAUGUUCUCUUGUGUGUGUUUCAGUGCGAACUCGGAUCAGUUGCUGCUCCAAACCCAACAAUUCGGAGGAAGAACCCGCAAGAAGCGAGUCUCCCAGCGAUGCCAAGGUUGGUCGUGCAUUUACUACUCUUCUUUUCUUAUAGUUGUCUCUGUUUCAACCAUACAAAUUCAUCUAGCCAUAAGGUGGAGAAUGCAAAGAGUGGGGACACUGUCAUUCAUAUUUGGCGUGGUAAUACCAUAAUAAACAGUCAGAAACCUUACGGUCUUGCAACAUCUUCAGAAUCAAUAUUCUGCUCCAGUCGGGCUCUACGUAUACCCUGUUUUUUAGUGGAAUAUGUAGUAUAUCCUGUCGAUCAUGGAUUAUCUAAAAAAAGGCUUUCAAAUUAGAAAGUUCUUCAAAUUGUACAAGUAAAUAAUCCUUGAGAGAUGUUUAUGGCGAAUGUCAACUGUCAGUCUGCACAAGACACAAGUGAUGUAUACAUGAUCCCCAAAUGGUGAACAGUACCAUUCUGCAAAAUAAAAUGCCUCAAGAACCAAAAGGGGCAUGAACAAUUUGUGGGCUUUUUUGUUACAGCUCUAUAAAAAACUUCUCCAGGCUCGUUUUGCUUUCAAGUCUCAUGCGCGUUUUCUUUCUCAUACAGGAUGAAGAAAAUAUUAGCUCCAGACGACGAUGUGUAGCUUGCAUGUGUGUUGUAAC
This 944-nucleotide long non-coding RNA is filed under the name Hordeum vulgare. RNAcentral describes it as "long non-coding RNA (HVUL_LNC013830)". The record is from RNAcentral. Lineage: Eukaryota; Viridiplantae; Streptophyta; Magnoliopsida; Poales; Poaceae.